AUGAAUCCAGCCUCGGCACCGGGCCCCGAUGGGCUACCGGUCCGUUUCUUUCAGGCAUUCUGGCCUAUGGUCAAGGAAACCAUCCUUGAGUUGUUCCGUGAGUUCGCUAGGGGAACAUUGGACAUAUCCCGCCUUAACUAUGAGAUUAUCUCCUUGAUCCCCAAGGUUCCGGGUGCAGCGGAUAUUAGACAAUUCCGCCCUAUCACAGUCCUCAAUGUGAUCUUUAGAAUCCUGGCCAAAGGAUACGCCACUAGGGCGACCCUUAUUGCGCCACGGAUUCAUCACCCAAACCAAUCGGCCUUCACCAAAGGCCGAUUUAUUCUCGACGGGGUCCUCGUCCUUCAUGAGGUGAUCCAUGAGGUCAAGUCGAAGCACCUCCGUGCGGUGUUCUUCAAAAUUGAUUUCCAUAAGGCUUAUGACAUUGUUCAUUGGUCCUUCCUUCGGGAAGUGUUGCUCAAACGUGGGUUUGAUCACCACUGGGUCGUGCGUGUUAUGCAGUUGGUCACGAGUGGCCGGACUGCGGUUAACAUAAAUGGGGAGGUUGGGCCGUACUUCUUGACGGGCCAAGGGCUCCGUCAGGGGGACCCAAUAUCCCCUUUUCUAUUCAAUCUCGUGGUUGAUGCACUUGCCUCAAUCCUUGAUUUAGCCAAGAGCACCGGUCACAUUAGGGGGAUCUGCCCCCACCCGGUAGCGAAUGGGGGUCUGACCCAUCUCCAAUAUGCCGAUGACACCAUUAUGAUGGUGGAAGGCUCGGAUGAGGACAUUCGGAAUCUCAAGUUCCUCCUCCUCUGCUUUCAGGAAAUGUCGAGCCUCAAGAUUAAUUUCACCAAGAGUGAGGUGAUGGUCAUGGGAUACACCCCGACGGACGCUCAGCGCAUUGCCAACCGCUUGAACUGUCGUUUGGGGACCUUCCCGACUACCUACCUGGGCGUUCCUCUUAGUGAUACUCGCUUACUUGAGAAGGACUUUCAUCCAAUAAUCGCCAAGCUCCAACCUAGGAUGGAGCCAUGGCAGGGGAGGUGGCUAUCGAAAGCCGCUCGAGUAAUUCUGAUGAACUCCUCCCUCAUUAGCCUACUGAUGUAUAUCAUGGGAUUCUAUAGUCUGCACGAAUCCCUUCAUCACGAGGUCACCAAACUCCUCUCCAGAUUCUUCUGGGCAGGAGAGAACAACAAACAGAAGUACCACAUGGUGAAGUGGUCUGAGAUCUGCAAGCCGAAGGACCAAGGAGGUCUUGGGGUUAUUUCAUCCAAGCGAAUGAAUAUUUCCCUCCUUUCCAAAUGGCUUUGGCGGAUUCAGACUGCUGAGGGUGGUCGGUGGCUUGACAUUAUGCGCGCAAAAUACUUGCGCGUGCAGCCACUGGCGUUCGCAUAUAGAUCUGAUGGCUCCCAAUUCUGGCAAUCGGUGAUUCGUCUGAUGCCGGUUUUGCGUAUUGGGACCUCCAUUAAAAUAGGCUCUGGCACGGGCACCCUGUUCUGGCUAGACCAUUGGGCAGGGUCCCGCCCUUUUGCGGACCGCUUCUCCGCGCUGUUCGCGAUAUGCGUCCGCCCACAGCUUUCUGUGGCUGUGGCAUUAGCUGAUUUGGGGGCUAUUGCCUUUCGCCGUACCUUUGGGGCGGUGGAACGUCAGCAAUGGGACGAAUUGCUUGAGUGUAUUGCCUUACACCCCCCUCCUUGGAGCCCGAUUCUAUUUCUUGGCACCUUGAGUCAAGUGGCCGCUUCUCAACAAGAUCUCUUUAUCAGGCGAUUGUCCCCACCCCUGGCCCGGCGGAACUCUUGGUGCUCUGGGAGAUCAAACUCCCCUUGA
This 1803-nucleotide ribosomal RNA is filed under the name Triticum aestivum (bread wheat). RNAcentral's name for it is "partial small subunit ribosomal RNA". The record is from RNAcentral. Lineage: Eukaryota; Viridiplantae; Streptophyta; Magnoliopsida; Poales; Poaceae.